Molecule: non-coding RNA, 746 nt
Filed under: Diorhabda carinata
Lineage: Eukaryota; Metazoa; Arthropoda; Insecta; Coleoptera; Chrysomelidae
Source: RNAcentral
UAAAAGUUUUAUUUUAACUUAAAAAUUAGGUAUUAUUUUUUAUUAUAUGUGAAUUAUUUUAUAGAAGAAUUUUACAGUGAUUAAAAUUAUAUAUUAAAGAAAUUUAGAUUUAGAAAUAAUAAGUAUUAUUAACAAAAUUUGUGCCAGCAGUUGCGGUUAUACAAAUAAUAUAAUUUAAUUUUAUUAAUAAAAAUUAAUUGUAAAUAGUAAUUUUAAUAUAGAAUUUAAUAAGUGAAAUUUUAAAUUUUAUUUAAAAAUUUAAGUUUGUUAAUGAAGUUUAAAAAUUUAAAUUAUAAACUAGGAUUAGAUACCCUAUUAUUUUAAAUGUAAUUAAAAAUAUUGAAUUAGUAAUAGUUAUGUUCUUGAAAAUUAAAAAUUUUGGCGGUAUUUUAGUCUUUUCAGAGGAACCUGUUCUGUAAAUGAUAAUCCACGAUUUAAUUUACUUAUAUUAUUAGUUUGUAUAUCAUCGUAAUUAAAUAUUUUAUUAAAAUUAUAAAUAUUUAGAAUUUAAUAUUAUAAAAUUUAUCAGAUCAAGGUGCAAUUUAUAUAUAAGAAGUAAUGGGUUACAAUAAAAAUAUUUUUGGAUAAUUUUUAUUAUUAAAAAUUUAAAUUUGGAUUUGAUAGUAAUUUUAAUAAAUUAAUUAAAAUGAUUUUAGCUCUAAAAUAUGUACAUAUCGCCCGUCGCUUUCAUUUAAUAUGAAAUAAGUCGUAACAAAGUAGAUUUACUGGAAAGUGAAUCUAGAAUA